GGCGAGUUCGGUUCGAGUCUUCAUCGAUCGGGUGGAUCUAUAUGCUGAGGGGGGUGAGAGAGGUGUAGCGCAGUCUGGUCAGCGCAUCUGUUUUGGGUACAGAGGGCCAUAGGUUCGAAUCCUGUCACCUUGAU
Non-coding RNA from Lupinus albus (white lupine), 134 nucleotides. NCBI's taxonomy places the organism in Eukaryota, Viridiplantae, Streptophyta, Magnoliopsida, Fabales, Fabaceae. The record is from the annotation of a GenBank genome assembly.